Molecule: transfer RNA, 93 nt
Filed under: Caenorhabditis elegans
Lineage: Eukaryota; Metazoa; Nematoda; Chromadorea; Rhabditida; Rhabditidae
Description: Unclassified non-coding RNA C38C6.9
Source: RNAcentral
AAAAAAGAACUGAUGAGAGUGGGAUUCGAACCCACGCCCCCGAAGGGACUGGUGCCUUAAACCAGCGCCUUAGACCGCUCGGCCAUCUCACCG